Molecule: ribosomal RNA, 478 nt
Filed under: uncultured bacterium
Lineage: Bacteria
Description: SSU rRNA
Rfam family: Bacterial small subunit ribosomal RNA
Source: RNAcentral
AGGACGAACGCUGGCGGCGUGCUUAACACAUGCAAGUCGAGCGGAAAGGCCCUUUCGGGGGUACUCGAGCGGCGAACGGGUGAGUAACACGUGAGUAACCUGCCCUUGGCUUUGGGAUAACCCUCGGAAACGGGGGCUAAUACCGAAUAUUCACUGCUCCUCGCAUGGGGGGUGGUGGAAAGAUUUUUUGGCUGGGGAUGGGCUCGCGGCCUAUCAGCUUGUUGGUGGGGUGAUGGCCUACCAAGGCGACGACGGGUAGCCGGCCUGAGAGGGCGACCGGCCACACUGGGACUGAGACACGGCCCAGACUCCUACGGGAGGCAGCAGUGGGGAAUAUUGCACAAUGGGCGCAAGCCUGAUGCAGCGACGCCGCGUGAGGGAUGACGGCCUUCGGGUUGUAAACCUCUUUCAGCAGGGACGAAGCGUAAGUGACGGUACCUGCAGAAGAAGCGCCGGCCAACUACGCGCCAGCAGCCGC